CAGUUCGGAUUGUAGUCUGCAACUCGACUACAUGAAGCUGGAAUCGCUAGUAAUCGCAGAUCAGAAUGCUGCGGUGAAUACGUUCCCGGGUCUUGUACACACCGCCCGUCACACCAUGGGAGUCGGAAAUGCCCGAAGCCGGUGACCCAACCAAAAGGAGGGAGCCGUCGAAGGCAGGUCUGAUAACUGGGGUGAAGUCGUAACAAGGUAUC
Molecule: ribosomal RNA, 212 nt
Filed under: uncultured bacterium
Lineage: Bacteria
Description: partial 16S ribosomal RNA
Rfam family: Bacterial small subunit ribosomal RNA
Source: RNAcentral